GUUGAACGCUGGCGGCAUGCCUUACACAUGCAAGUCGAACGGCAGCACGGGAGCAAUCCUGGUGGCGAGUGGCGAACGGGUGAGUAAUAUAUCGGAACGUGCCCAGUCGUGGGGGAUAACGUAGCGAAAGCUACGCUAAUACCGCAUACGAUCUAUGGAUGAAAGCGGGGGAUCGCAAGACCUCGCGCGAUUGGAGCGGCCGAUAUCAGAUUAGGUAGUUGGUGAGGUAAAGGCUCACCAAGCCGGCGAUCUGUAGCUGGUCUGAGAGGACGACCAGCCAAACUGGGACUGGGACACGGCCCAGACUCCUACGGGAGGCAGCAGUGGGGAAUUUUGGACAAUGGGCGCAAGCCUGAUCCAGCAAUGCCGCGUGCAGGAUGAAGGCCUUCGGGUUGUAAACUGCUUUUGUACGGAACGAAACGGCGAGCUCUAAUACAGUUUGCUAAUGACGGUACCGUAAGAAUAAGCACCGGCUAACUACGUGCCAGCAGCCGCCGUAA
Molecule: ribosomal RNA, 500 nt
Filed under: uncultured bacterium
Lineage: Bacteria
Description: partial 16S ribosomal RNA
Rfam family: Bacterial small subunit ribosomal RNA
Source: RNAcentral